RNAcentral lists this ribosomal RNA (259 nucleotides) under uncultured prokaryote. RNAcentral describes it as "partial 16S ribosomal RNA". It matches the Rfam family "Bacterial small subunit ribosomal RNA", at positions 524 to 782 of the family's 1533-position model. The record is from RNAcentral.
UACGGAGGAUGCGAGCGUUAUCCGGAUUUAUUGGGUUUAAAGGGUGCGUAGGCGGCUUUUUAAGUCAGCGGUGAAAUUUUGCAGCUUAACUGUAACAGUGCCGUUGAUACUGGGGAGCUAGGAUUUGGUUGCUGUUGGUGGAAUGUGUGGUGUAGCGGUGAAAUGCUUAGAGAUCACACAGAAUAUCGAUUGCGAAGGCAGCUCACAAAGCCAAGAUUGACGCUGGGGCACGAAAGUGUGGGGAUCAAACAGGAUUAGA